UUUUAAUGAGAGUUUGAUCCUGGCUCAGGACGAACGCUGGCGGCGUGCCUAAUACAUGCAAGUAGAACGCUGAAGGAAGGAGCUUGCUUCUUCCGGAUG
This 99-nucleotide ribosomal RNA is filed under the name Streptococcus suis. Its description in RNAcentral is "partial 16S ribosomal RNA". It matches the Rfam family "Bacterial small subunit ribosomal RNA", at positions 1 to 95 of the family's 1533-position model. The record is from RNAcentral. Lineage: Bacteria; Bacillati; Bacillota; Bacilli; Lactobacillales; Streptococcaceae.